UACGUAGGGUGCAAGCGUUGUCCGGAAUUAUUGGGCGUAAAGAGCUCGUAGGCGGCUUGUCAAGUCGGCUGUGAAAACCCGGGGCUCAACUCCGGGCCUGCAGUCGAUACGGGCUGGCUUGAGUGCGGUAGGGGAGACUGGAAUUCCUGGUGUAGCGGUGAAAUGCGCAGAUAUCAGGAGGAACACCGGUGGCGAAGGCGGGUCUCUGGGCCGUAACUGACGCUGAGGAGCGAAAGCGUGGGGAGCGAACAGG
RNAcentral lists this ribosomal RNA (253 nucleotides) under uncultured bacterium. RNAcentral's name for it is "partial 16S ribosomal RNA". It matches the Rfam family "Bacterial small subunit ribosomal RNA", at positions 524 to 776 of the family's 1533-position model. The record is from RNAcentral.